RNAcentral lists this ribosomal RNA (490 nucleotides) under uncultured bacterium. RNAcentral's name for it is "partial 16S ribosomal RNA". It matches the Rfam family "Bacterial small subunit ribosomal RNA", at positions 30 to 507 of the family's 1533-position model. The record is from RNAcentral.
AGUGAACGCUGGCGGCAGGCCUAAUACAUGCAAGUCGAACGGAAGCACGGUGAGGCUUGCUCCAUGGGUGGAGCGUGGCGGGGGGGUGUGGCAUACAGGUGAAUCUGCUCAGUCGCGGGGGUAAACGCAGGGAAACUUACGCUAAUACCGCAUGCGCCCUUCGGGGGAAAGCUGGGGAGUUUCGGGCCUGGCGCGUGUGAAUGAGACAAUGAUCGAUUAGCUAGUUGGCGGGGUAAAGGCCAACCAAGGCGACGAUCGAUAGCUGGUCUGAGAGGAUGAUCGGCCACACUGGGACUGAGACACGGCCCAGACUCCUACGGGAGGCAGCAGUAGGGAAUAUUGGGCAAUGGGCGCAAGCCUGAUCCAGCCAUGCCGCGUGAGUGAAGAAGGCCCUCGGGUCGUAAAGCUCUUUUGUCCGGGAAGAAAAUCAUCGGGCUAAUAUCUCGGUGUUCUGACGGUACCGGAAGAAUAAGCACCGGCUAACUUCGUG